CAGAAAAUAGUUUAAGUAAAAUGUUGAUUUUGGAGAUCAGAGAUGAAGGUUUAUCUUUUCUGA
Molecule: transfer RNA, 63 nt
Filed under: Charinus carajas
Lineage: Eukaryota; Metazoa; Arthropoda; Arachnida; Amblypygi; Charinidae
Description: tRNA-Pro
Rfam family: tRNA
About the family: Transfer RNA (tRNA) molecules are approximately 80 nucleotides in length. Their secondary structure includes four short double-helical elements and three loops (D, anti-codon, and T loops).
Source: RNAcentral